AUCAGGAACCCACCUCCCACGCCCAACCCCCUCGCUCCUCCCAAUCCCAUAUCUCUCCGAAGAAAAAUUGCCACCGUCGUCCCUCGUGAUAGCCACUCCCAGAUCUCCCCUCGGAGCUUGAUCUCGGUCCUCCUCCGCCAUGCGCCCGCCUCCUCCCACGACUGUGGCGCGAGGUUCUCCUCCUCCUCGCUCACAAUCCACAUGCCCGCCGCGCCGGCAUAGGCGCCGACGCCGAUGACUCCGGCGGCCGGCGCCCACCCUCCUAUAGAAGAAUAUAAAAGGCCAAAACAGAGAUUCUUCUAUGGGCAGAAGAAAGAUCGAAUUGACCUUGUGCUUUGACGGUGGUAUGGAUAUCGAUGGCCGUCCGUCACCAAUCAAAGGAGGGUGAUGUCAUACAUUGUGUAGAUGGGGUACUCGGCUGACAACAAGCUCCAAGGCAAGAGGGUGGCAACCGACAAGCAGAGUCUCCGUGUUGAGGAGGUCAUCCUACUCCCUGUACAUUCCUGGCCUCGCGAGAACGUGCACUGGUUUGAUUUGGUCCAAUUCAGUUUGAUUCAAUAGUUGUGGUAGUGCUGAAUUGUCAGAUUCAACAUUUGUUUGCCAAGUCUUUACUUCAGUGAAAUCACUCAGAUAGAAGUAGGAGAGGAAGAAAAAGAACGUCAUUAUAUUCAGGUCCAGUGGUAAAUGCUUACAUAUGUUCUUGAUCCCCACACACAACUUGCUUUUAUUAGUACUUUUCUUGUUGGUGGAACAUAACUAGAGAAAAUAUUUGUGUGGUUUUAGCAUGUUCUGAUUAUGAAAAAUCAGAAUUCGAUACCCAUCUUUUAUUUGUCGUUCAUGUUUCGACGCUACAACUUGCUUUUAUUAGUAUUUUUUUUGUUGGUGGAACAUAACUAGAGCAAAUAUUGUGUGUGGUUUUAGCAUGUUCUGAUUAUGAAAAAUCAGAAUUUGGUACCCA
Hordeum vulgare subsp. vulgare (domesticated barley) is the source of this 958-nucleotide long non-coding RNA. RefSeq lists it as uncharacterized. The record is from RefSeq and is a predicted model, not a curated record. The transcript has 2 exons. Lineage: Eukaryota; Viridiplantae; Streptophyta; Magnoliopsida; Poales; Poaceae.